This 319-nucleotide ribosomal RNA is filed under the name uncultured eukaryote. RNAcentral's name for it is "partial 18S ribosomal RNA". It matches the Rfam family "Eukaryotic small subunit ribosomal RNA", at positions 1470 to 1796 of the family's 1831-position model. The record is from RNAcentral.
CCCUUAGAUGUUCUGGGCAGCACGCGCGCUACAAUGGUCUUCGCAAACGGAUGCAUUCUCGAAGGAGAAUGCCAAUCUUGGAAUCUAUGCCUUGGUCGGGACAGUUGCUUGCAAUUUUUCGACUCGAACCAGUAAUUCCUUGUAAUCGUGAUUCAUCACAUCACGAUGAAUACGUCCCUGCCCUUUGUACACACCGCCCGUCGCUCCUACCGAUCGAAGAGUUAGGUGAAUUGUUUUGAUCGAUAAGAUUUGACUAUGGUCAACUCUCGUUGUGAAAUUCUGUGAAUCUGACUGUUUAGAGGAAGGAAAAGUCGUAACA